AUGAAAGUGAAAUCCUCUUCUUUAAGAAGAGUUGUUGCAAUUUUAGCUCCUGUAGGCGGCUUCAUUUUGCUUACCAUCUUGUUCCUCCUCACCUACUUUAUAAGUAAACAAACAACAGAGCAGCAACAACAUGAGAUGGAGGAGGAAGAGUUUGGGGAGGUACAAGGAACUCCAAUGAGGUUCACAUUUCAGCAGCUAAAAGAAGCAACUGAGCAAUUCGCAGACAAGCUCGGCGAAGGAGGAUUCGGGUCUGUUUUCAAGGGACAGAUAUCUGAUGAAAGGAUUGCAGUAAAACGUUUGGAUCGAGCUGGCCAGGGCAAAAGGGAAUUUGCUGCGGAGGUCCAGACAAUUGGCAGCAUUCAUCAUAUUAAUCUUGUGAGAUUGAUUGGUUUUUGUGCAGAGAAAUCACAUAGGCUCUUGGUGUAUGAGUACAUGCCAAAAGGAUCCUUGGACAGAUGGAUCUAUGGUCGACAUGACAAUGAUUCACCUCCUCCACAUUGGAGAACACGGUGCAAGAUUAUCACUAACAUAGCUAAGGGUCUCGCUUAUCUUCAUGAGGAGUGCAUGAAGAAGAUUGCCCAUUUGGAUGUCAAACCACAAAACAUCCUCUUAGAUGAUGACUUCAAUGCUAAACUUUCUGAUUUUGGACUAUGCAAGAUCAUUGACAGGGAUAUGAGUCAAGUGUUUACCAGAAUGAGAGGCACACCUGGAUAUUUAGCUCCUGAAUGGUUGACAUCACAGAUCACGGAAAAGGCCGAUGUCUAUAGCUUUGGUGUUGUGGUCAUGGAAGUCAUCAGCGGAAGAAAGAACCUCGACAAUUCUCGAUCUGAAGAGAGCAUCCAUCUCAUCACCCAAUUGGAGGAAAAGGUGAAGACUAAUCGGUUGGUAGAAUUGAUUGACAAUAAGAGUAACGAUAUGCUAGCACAUAAGCAGGAUGUAAUUGAGAUGAUGAAUCUCGCAAUGUGGUGUUUGCAGAUUGAUUGCAAAAGAAGGCCUAAAAUGUCCGAGGUAGUCAAGGUCUUGGAAGGUGCCAUGAAUGCAGAGAGCAACAUUGAUCAUAACUUCAUUGCAACAAGUCAAGUGUAUUUCGGCGCUGCUGGAAAUGUGGUCUCAUCGGUUCCACCUCUAGCUUCACAUGUAUCAGGUCCCAGGUGA
This 1155-nucleotide ribosomal RNA is filed under the name Triticum aestivum (bread wheat). Its description in RNAcentral is "partial small subunit ribosomal RNA". Lineage: Eukaryota; Viridiplantae; Streptophyta; Magnoliopsida; Poales; Poaceae. The record is from RNAcentral.